This is a non-coding RNA of Triticum urartu, 1631 nucleotides long. Lineage: Eukaryota; Viridiplantae; Streptophyta; Magnoliopsida; Poales; Poaceae. The record is from RefSeq and is a predicted model, not a curated record.
CUCUGUCUCGCCUGCGUCACCGGCGCCUCUCGCUAGCUCGUGUCGCCGGUGCCUCUCCCUUGCCCGCGCCGCCGGUGCCUCUCCCUUGCCCGCGUCGCCGGUGCCUCUCCCUCGCCCGUGUUGCCGGCGCCUCUCCAUUGGCUCCAUCGUUGGUGCCAAGAUCUCAUUUUUAUUCUCCGGUGGCUGAUUUCGAGUGCGUCGGCUCGAUCUGCAAUGGCCUUCCUCCACUCCAACGCCGUGCGGAUGAUGCCAUGGAAGGGCCACCAUGACAAGGAGCAGGACGACGCCUUGGAAGGUUCACCGACAGGAGCAACUACGUACGGUCUGGUCUUCUCCACUGACAGGGAUAUCGACAUGGAGGUCCGCCAUGGAAGGCCUGGAGCUCGUCAUGGAGGGUCCCUCCUCUCUCUUCCCCUCCCUCUACUCUGUUGGUUGGUUGGACGGAAGACCAUCGCUCGUCCAGCUCUGCUUCUUCCACCGCUGCUCCCGUCCCACCAUAGUGCCACAGACGCUAUGCCAAGCACGGAAGAUUCGGGGAGCCGCCUCGAUCCAGAGUACUCGCAAUCCAUUAUAGGGCAGUUCAAAGCCUGCCUCUGGAAGCAUUGGUUGACCUAUUGGCACAACCCAGAUUACAACCUUGUCAGAUUUUCCUUCACUUUGUUCACAACCUUGCUGCUUGGCUCCAUCUUUUGGAAGAUUGGCACCAUUAUGGGUGGAUGCCAAUACUCUUAGAAUGGUCAGUGGAGCAAUAUACACAAUAGUGAUGUUUGUCGGCAUCAACAACUAUGCAACCGUUCAACCAAUUGUUUUAAUCGAGAGAAUAGUUUGUACAGAGAGAGGGCUGCUCCAUUGCUCAGAUCAGCAGAGAUGAAUCGGCUUCCACCGGAUCCUUAGCUGGUGUAGCCUCAACUGCUUGCUCAGGACGAUUGCUUAGCAUGACGUGCAGCCUCCCGCGGCAGUAGUUCAACUCCUGCACAAUUACACAAAAGGCAUAGACCGUCAGAACAUAGUCCAAUGGUUUCUAGACCUGGCGUACAUCGGCGCCUCCAUGGCUGCUGAACAGGAUGAAGAGGAGCACUAGAGGACCAUGGCAGCGGUGAGACCCAACCCGUCGCGGCGCCUAGUGAGCAGGCGCACGGACACACCAGUAAAGCAUAGCACAGCGGCGGCCAUGUCCUCCAUCUCGAUGCUUCAGCCGGGCGUCACCAUGUAGUCACACAACGACCUACACUCCAUGAUAACCUCUCGAUUCCGCCGCCCACAAAUCUCACGGCGUCGAGGUGGCCAUGGGAGGGCUCGCCAGAGUGGUUUAGGCGAGGAUCAGGGGGUUGUGGAGAUCUGGGUGGAGGUGGUUUGGAGAGGUUCGGGGGUGAGGGCGGGUCUGGAUAGGAUGGAGACCGUGAAAGGAAACAAAAAACAUAGGUGAUUUCCUCCCUUUUUUCCAUGCGGAAGAGGAGGUGGAGUCAAACGUUUUAUUUGGAAAAAAAUCGGUGGGGGAGGUCGAUCGAUGCGAGGGGUUGCGUGCGAGCGAAAGAACGACGUACGGGCGAGUAGAGAUUGGUGUUAAACCUACUGUAUUCCAACUUCUCUAUGGAUUACAAACUAUUUUACUAGCCAUAGAUUCAUCAAAA